This 472-nucleotide ribosomal RNA is filed under the name uncultured bacterium. RNAcentral's name for it is "partial 16S ribosomal RNA". It matches the Rfam family "Bacterial small subunit ribosomal RNA", at positions 28 to 507 of the family's 1533-position model. The record is from RNAcentral.
GACGAACGCUGGCGGCGUGCUUAACACAUGCAAGUCGAACGAUGAACCCGGAGCUUGCUCUGGGGGUUUAGUGGCGAACGGGUGAGUAACACGGGAGUAACCUGCCCUGGACUCUGGGAUAAGCGGUGGAAACGACGUCUAAUACCGGAUAGGACCUUGGAUCGCAUGAUCUGGGGGGGAAAGGUUUUUCGGUCUGGGAUGGACUCGCGGCCUAUCAGCUUGUUGGUGAGGUAAUGGCUCACCAAGGGGUCGACGGGUAGCCGGCCUGAGAGGGUGACCGGACACGGUGGGACUGCGACACGGCCGAGACUCCUACGGGAGGCAGCAGUGGGGAAUAUGGCAGAAUGGGCGAAAGCCUGAUGCAGCAACGCGGCGUGCGGGAUGACGGCCUUCGGGUUGUAAACCGCUUUGUGUAGGGAAGAAGGGCUUCGGCUUGACGGUACCUGCAGAAAAAGGACCGGCUAACUACGUG